UAGUUUAAAUUAUGAAACCCUAACCCGUGUAUUCCCUUAUUCGUCAAUCCUUGUUUCUUUCUGCACUAACUUAAUGACUUAUGAUGUUGAGUUGUACUGUUUGUUUAUUGCUUUACUCAACAUGCUUACAAUUCUAUCCUUCUUUGUUAAAUUGUGAUCAACAUAUUUACUUGUUCCCGUUUAGGUCCUUCAACUAGAAUGUCUAUAAUGUACCUAAUUCAUCACUAAUUGUGUGUUUCUGAUUUGGGUCCUCUAUGUCUCCAACCCCUAAUCCCCUUUUUCUAACUGCUGAAGCAUGUAAUAUCUUUGAAAUGGUUUUGUGUGUGUUGUUGUUGCUCCAACACCUUUUCCCUUUCAAAACUAUUUUAUUAGGCAAUUGUUCUGUUGUUUACAUACUCACUUCAAACAUGUUGUUUCUAAAACUAUUUUCCAACUCAACUCCUUUGAGUCUAUGUAAAGCACUCUCGCAUACACUCUUAGAUAUAGGUUCUGCCCAUCUUGUGCCAGCCUUGCUUUGGGACCCUUGAGCUCCCUCAGAACCUGAACAUAUAAGGGCUGGCUCUUGCACUCUGCACUUAUUUUUGGUUGUGCUAUCUGGGUGUGAGCACUUCUCGGGAUCCCUUGAGGUCUUUAGGAAUCACUGACAUACGCAGGUAUGAGAAUGGAUUUGGAAUAGUAUUAACAUUUGAAGUUAUUUAUUAUAUAACUCAUAGUGGAAGUCAGGAUAAGUCUUCCUAUGGUUGUAACUUUUUAUUUUUGCAUUUUUUCUUAUGUUAUUCAAUCACAUGGUUUGUAAUAGUUUGUUAAAUAAGUAUUGGGGUGGCUAGUGAAAAUGUUUGGGGAAAUAUGCAUGUAAUAGUUGGCAAAGGGUAGAAAACAUGUUAUUCGAUUUAUAUUCAAAGUUGUACAAUACAAAUCAUGUUUAGGAUUCAUAUAAUGCAAUAGAAAUCAUGUUUAGGAUUCAUACAAUGCAUUGGAAAUCAUGCUCUUAGGAUUCAGGUUUCCUGCUUUAGCAUCUCAUUCAUUAAGCUAUGCUUCGUGUCCAUCACGUAGAAAUCCUACUUCUAUGAUGAAUAAUGAAGAAGAUGUUACUCAUGAAGUCAUUUCUUAAUAAUUCUGCAACUCUUUCGUAUAUUUUAAAACAACGUCUUACGAACUCUGCCAUCUACAUGUGCAUAUUAGAUACCAUGUUCUAGGAUCCUAUUUGUAUUUUGUUUAAAAAUGCCUAGUUAAUUACUGAUUCAUGUAAUAGGUAGUAAGGUAUCAGUUUUUUACAUUGUGAAGUCUCUGAAUAACUGGUAAUAAUCUCUGCAACUAGAACAAUAUGUUUUAGGUAAUAAUAAGCUCAAAACUAUCUUAGAAAGUCUGAAUAACUACUGAAUAUUCCUUACGCCUAAGAAAGCCUUUGGCAAUUAGUUAAAUAAAACUAGAACUUCCUUUUCUUAAUUAUAGACAAUCACAACCAGCAGGAAGGCCUGAUUCAGACUUCUUUCUUAGUCAUGUGAUAAAUCUGGUUCUAAAUUAAACACCCUGCUUAGGAUUUUAAAUUCAG
Molecule: long non-coding RNA, 1552 nt
Filed under: Nicotiana benthamiana
Lineage: Eukaryota; Viridiplantae; Streptophyta; Magnoliopsida; Solanales; Solanaceae
Description: long non-coding RNA (NBEN_LNC034876)
Source: RNAcentral